UUUCCGUAGGCGAACCUGCGGAAGGAUCAUUAUCGAGUUUUGACUGGGCUGUAGCUGGCCUUCCGAGGCAUGUGCACGCCCUGCUCAUCCACUCUACACCUGUGCACUUACUGUGGGUAUCAGAUCGUGAAGCGUGCUCUUUUACCGGAGCUUGUGAAGCGUGUCUGUGCCUGCGUUUAUCACAAACACUAUAAAGUAUCAGAAUGUGUAUUACGAUGUAACGCAUCUAUAUACAACUUUCAGCAACGGAUCUCUUGGCUCUC
This 263-nucleotide unclassified non-coding RNA is filed under the name plant metagenome. RNAcentral describes it as "partial contains small subunit ribosomal RNA, internal transcribed spacer 1, and 5.8S ribosomal RNA". The record is from RNAcentral.